UAUAUUUGUUUAUGUAUUAUGCAGUUUGUAUCUGUGUCUUUUUCCCCUCCCACUCUGUCUUUAGUUGUCAUGUUGCGUUGUGUGGUGGCGGGUGUUAUUGUUCUAUUUGUGUUUUCUGUUGAGGCUUUAUUUAUUACUAUGUGUGUGGCUUCUGUAAUCUAAGUGUCAUGUCUGUUCUAUGCGUUGAUAACACCUUAACAUCUAUGUUAUUAACUGAACCUCUAUGUUCUAAUUGAAAUGUGUACACACACACAC
This is a long non-coding RNA of Octopus sinensis (East Asian common octopus), 255 nucleotides long. RefSeq lists it as uncharacterized. The transcript has 3 exons. Lineage: Eukaryota; Metazoa; Mollusca; Cephalopoda; Octopoda; Octopodidae. The record is from RefSeq and is a predicted model, not a curated record.